UGAUGGUCUGCCGUGUGCGGACAAUAGGGAAUCGCGUGCAAAUCGCGAGCUGUCGCGCAACUGUAAGUUCCCGCCAAGAGUGGUGCCUUAUGCCAUUGGAAGCAUGAUUUCCGAGAAGGCGCGCCACAGAAGGGAGAAGCCAGGAGACCUGCCAUCGACC
This 160-nucleotide non-coding RNA is filed under the name bovine gut metagenome. The record is from RNAcentral.